This 495-nucleotide ribosomal RNA is filed under the name uncultured bacterium. RNAcentral's name for it is "partial 16S ribosomal RNA". It matches the Rfam family "Bacterial small subunit ribosomal RNA", at positions 30 to 506 of the family's 1533-position model. The record is from RNAcentral.
AUGAACGCUGGCGGCGUGCCUAAUACAUGCAAGUCGAGCGAACAGACGAGGAGCUUGCUCCUCUGACGUUAGCGGCGGACGGGUGAGUAACACGUGGAUAACCUACCUAUAAGACUGGGAUAACUUCGGGAAACCGGAGCUAAUACCGGAUAAUAUAUUGAACCGCAUGGUUCAAUAGUGAAAGACGGUUUUGCUGUCACUUAUAGAUGGAUCCGCGCCGCAUUAGCUAGUUGGUAAGGUAACGGCUUACCAAGGCAACGAUGCGUAGCCGACCUGAGAGGGUGAAGGGCCAACAGGGAACAGAGAACCGGGCCAAAAUCCCAGGGGAGGCAGAAGGAGGGAAUUUUCCGAAAUGGGGGAAAGCCGGACGGGAAAACGACGGGGGAGGGAUGAAGGUUUUGGGAUCGUAAAACUCUGUUAUAAGGGAAAAAAAAAUGGGAAAGUAAAUAGGAACGUUUUGACGGUACCUAAACAAAAAGCCACGGAUAACUAAGU